GAUUCAGGAAGGCAAUGUACCGAGGAUAAUUCUUCUUCCAGUACCUCUACUUCUUGCAGUAGAAGCAUUCCGUCUGACUCUGGUCGGACUUAGAUUUUUUGGUCUGAUAGGGCUUGGGUGCCCCAGCAUUUUGCAUCAUUUUUUUGUUCUUCUUUCCUUUCUUAAAAGAUCGACAUCCAGAAGAAAACUCUCCCACACAUUCACC
RNAcentral lists this long non-coding RNA (205 nucleotides) under Elaeis guineensis (African oil palm). RNAcentral's name for it is "long non-coding RNA (EGUI_LNC031600)". Lineage: Eukaryota; Viridiplantae; Streptophyta; Magnoliopsida; Arecales; Arecaceae. The record is from RNAcentral.